UAGGGAAUUUUGCGCAAUGGGGGAAACCCUGACGCAGCAACGCCGCGUGAUUGACGAAGCCCUUCGGGGUGUAAAGAUCUGUCAGUAGGGACGAAAGAUGACGGUACCUACAGAGGAAGCACCGGCUAACUCCGUGCCAGCAGCCGCGGUAAUACGGGGGGUGCAAGCGUUGUCCGGAAUCAUUGGGCGUAAAGAGUUCGUAGGCGGCAUAGUAAGUUUGGUGUUAAAGGCAGAGGCUCAACUUCUGUAGGGCACUGGAUACUGCUAAGCUAGAAUGCGGUAGAGGUAAAGGGAAUUCCUGGUGUAGCGGUGAAAUGCGUAGAUAUCAGGAGGAACAUCGGAGGCGUAAGCGCUUUACUGGGCCGAAAUUGACGCUGAGGAACGAAAGCCAGGGUAGCAAAUGGG
This 405-nucleotide ribosomal RNA is filed under the name uncultured bacterium. Its description in RNAcentral is "bacterial SSU rRNA". It matches the Rfam family "Bacterial small subunit ribosomal RNA", at positions 355 to 776 of the family's 1533-position model. The record is from RNAcentral.